Molecule: long non-coding RNA, 659 nt
Filed under: Glycine max (soybean)
Lineage: Eukaryota; Viridiplantae; Streptophyta; Magnoliopsida; Fabales; Fabaceae
Description: long non-coding RNA (GMAX_LNC001032)
Source: RNAcentral
UGGGAUAAACUAACCUAAAUAGUCAAGUGAAGGAGACCCACAUGCUCACUUCUCCUUCCCCGCCCCAUUUCUGGGACGGGCCUCGUUAUUAUUUGAGGAUACCCCUGCUCAAAUAAAAACUACAACCCCCGAAAGACUAAGAGCAAGAAUCUUAAACCCACAUAUCCUUUUUUACAUCAUAGCAUAGAAAGCAGUACCAUUGAUCCCAUAUUCAAUGAAAUUGGUGUGUAUAUCUACUACUAAUUCUUUGAACCUUGCCCCUCGUUCCCGCCACAACCACCAACAGCAAUCAAGCCAGCCAAGCCCAGGGAGUAGCUUCACCUUCUCCCCCUCACUGUUCCUACAGUCUUCCUAAUUCCCACCUCUUGAUUUUUUUGACUUUCUUUAAAAAAAGAUUGGAAGAAGAGAUGGCAUUGAUAAGAACCUUAUAGGGUUGGCUCCGGUGGGUCCCUAAUUCGACUUCUUUUACAUAUGAGUCAUAUGUUUUCAUCGAAAGAAGUUUCCCAUUACAGUAGACCAAAAAGCCCCUAAUCUCAUCCCUUUUGUUCCUUUGAGAAAGCUCAUCCCGGGAAUACCCGUCAGAGGGCAGAGCUUUCUCAAUGGCCUUUUCGAUUUUGACUUGUGCGUUUAGCACUUUGUCUUUCUGCUGAUCCGACAAG